RNAcentral lists this ribosomal RNA (639 nucleotides) under uncultured bacterium. Its description in RNAcentral is "bacterial SSU rRNA". It matches the Rfam family "Bacterial small subunit ribosomal RNA", at positions 122 to 775 of the family's 1533-position model. The record is from RNAcentral.
GAACUUGCCUCUUGGUCUGGGACAACUGUUGGAAACGACAGCUAAUACCGGAUAUUAUGAGAUUCUCGCAUGGGAAACUUAUGAAAGCUAUAUGCGCCAAGAGAGAGCCUUGCGUUCCAUUAGCUAGUUGGUGGGGUAACGGCCCACCAAGGCGACGAUGGAUAGCCGGCCUGAGAGGGUGAACGGCCACAAGGGGACUGAGACACGGCCCUUACUCCUACGGGAGGCAGCAGUGGGGAAUAUUGGACAAUGGGCCACAAGCCUGAUCCAGCAAUUCUGUGUGCACGAUGAAGGUCUUCGGAUUGUAAAGUGCUUUCAGUUGGGAAGAAGAAAGUGACGGUACCAACAGAAGAAGCGACGGCUAAAUACGUGCCAGCAGCCGCGGUAAUACGUAUGUCGCAAGCGUUAUCCGGAUUUAUUGGGCGUAAAGCGCGUCUAGGCGGAAAAAUAAGUCUGAUGUUAAAAUGCGGGGCUCAACUCCGUAUUGCGUUGGAAACUGUUUUUCUAGAGUACUGGAGAGGUGGGCGGAACUACAAGUGUAGAGGUGAAAUUCGUAGAUAUUUGUAGGAAUGCCGAUGGAGAAGUCAGCUCACUGGACAGAUACUGACGCUAAAGCGCGAAAGCGUGGGGAGCAAACAG